This 273-nucleotide ribosomal RNA is filed under the name Triticum aestivum (bread wheat). Its description in RNAcentral is "partial small subunit ribosomal RNA". The record is from RNAcentral. Lineage: Eukaryota; Viridiplantae; Streptophyta; Magnoliopsida; Poales; Poaceae.
GUCGUGUGCAACGUCCACGCCGGCACCAAGCAGCUACAGCUGACGCGGUGGGAGAGCAGCCACGGCAACAUCAUCAAGGGGGAAGGGUACCUGGACUUCAUCAUUUGGUGCUGCUUCAAGGAGAAUGACAUUGUCGAGAUCUGGGCCUUCAAGGAGCGCUCCUUCCGCUUGUUCGGCGUCGACAUGUGCCAUGCAAGCCCGCUCUUCGUCGUGCUAACCAAGAAAGAGCAGUGCCCAGCGGUGUCCAUAGGGAUUCGCAAAUGUACGCAGUAG